AAACAUAUAAGGUAGAUAGAAAAUGAGAGUGAGUUUGUAACU
Molecule: non-coding RNA, 42 nt
Filed under: Trypanosoma brucei brucei
Lineage: Eukaryota; Euglenozoa; Kinetoplastea; Trypanosomatida; Trypanosomatidae
Source: RNAcentral